GGGUGUUAGCUCAGUUGGUUAGAGCGCCGGCCUGUCACGUCGGAGGUCGCGAGUUCAAGUCUCGUACAU
RNAcentral lists this transfer RNA (69 nucleotides) under Slackia exigua. It matches the Rfam family "tRNA", at positions 5 to 66 of the family's 71-position model. From Rfam's summary of the family: Transfer RNA (tRNA) molecules are approximately 80 nucleotides in length. Their secondary structure includes four short double-helical elements and three loops (D, anti-codon, and T loops). RNAcentral also lists the same sequence under 15 other names. Lineage: Bacteria; Bacillati; Actinomycetota; Coriobacteriia; Eggerthellales; Eggerthellaceae. The record is from RNAcentral.